CCUACGGGUGGCUGCAGUGGGGAAUAUUGGGCAAUGGGCGCAAGCCUGACCCAGCAACGCCGCGUGAAGGAAGAAGGCUUUCGGGUUGUAAACUUCUUUUCUCAGGGACGAAGCAAGUGACGGUACCUGAGGAAUAAGCCACGGCUAACUACGUGCCAGCAGCCGCGGUAAUACGGAGGUGGCCAGCGUUAUCCGGAUUUACUGGGUGGAAAGGGCGUGUAGGCGGGAAAGCAAGUCAGAUGUGAAAACCAUGGGCUCAACCUGUGGCCUGCAUUUGAAACUGUUUUUCUUGAGUAUGGGAGAGGCAGACGGAAUGCCUGGUGGAGAGGUGAAAUGCGUAGAUAUCAGGAGGAACACUAGUGGCGAAGGCGGUAUGCUGGACAGCAACUGACGCUGAUGCGCGAAAGCGUGGGGAGCAAACAGGAUUAGAUACCCGGGUAGUC
Molecule: ribosomal RNA, 443 nt
Filed under: uncultured bacterium
Lineage: Bacteria
Description: partial 16S ribosomal RNA
Rfam family: Bacterial small subunit ribosomal RNA
Source: RNAcentral